Drosophila melanogaster (fruit fly) is the source of this 88-nucleotide non-coding RNA. Its record names the gene mir-307a. Lineage: Eukaryota; Metazoa; Arthropoda; Insecta; Diptera; Drosophilidae. The record is from Ensembl.
UGUCUUGCUUUGACUCACUCAACCUGGGUGUGAUGUUAUUUCGAUAUGGUAUCCAUCACAACCUCCUUGAGUGAGCGAUAGCAGGACA